AACGACAACCACUGAAUUACAGGCUCCUUACUUAAAUGUUCAUAACAUACUAAAUGUAUGUUCAUAUUGAAAUUGAUAGAAAACCAAAAAUUAGGAACUUUGGAAAUAAAGGAGGAGGGAUAGAAAAAAAACAUUUUCCUGUCCCCAAUAACCUAUGACUUAUGAUACUUUUGCUGAAAUUCUCCAGUCAUUCAGUAUUUUACAAAAUUCUUCCAACAACACUUUACAUACUUUAAACUACGC
RNAcentral lists this long non-coding RNA (243 nucleotides) under Mytilus galloprovincialis (Mediterranean mussel). The record is from RNAcentral. Lineage: Eukaryota; Metazoa; Mollusca; Bivalvia; Mytilida; Mytilidae.